UUUACAAUGAAGAGUUUGAUCCUGGCUCAGGAUGAACGCUAGCGGCAGGCUUAACACAUGCAAGUCGAGGGGUAACAUUGUAGCUUGCUACAGAUGACGACCGGCGAACGGGUGCGUAACGCGUAUAGAAUCUGCCUUGUACAGGAGGAUAGCCUUUAGAAAUGAAGAUUAAUACUCCAUAAUGUUGGUGAGUGGCAUCGCUUACUAAUUA
RNAcentral lists this ribosomal RNA (211 nucleotides) under Tenacibaculum sp. M341. Its description in RNAcentral is "partial 16S ribosomal RNA". It matches the Rfam family "Bacterial small subunit ribosomal RNA", at positions 1 to 203 of the family's 1533-position model. Lineage: Bacteria; Pseudomonadati; Bacteroidota; Flavobacteriia; Flavobacteriales; Flavobacteriaceae. The record is from RNAcentral.